GACGAACGCUGGCGGCGUGCCUAAUACAUGCAAGUAGAACGCUGAAGAGAGGAGCUUGCUCUUCUUGGAUGAGUUGCGAACGGGUGAGUAACGCGUAGGUAACCUGCCUUGUAGCGGGGGAUAACUAUUGGAAACGAUAGCUAAUACCGCAUAACAAUGGAUGACACAUGUCAUUUAUUUGAAAGGGGCAAUUGCUCCACUACAAGAUGGACCUGCGUUGUAUUAGCUAGUAGGUGAGGUAAUGGCUCACCUAGGCGACGAUGCGUAGCCGACCUGAGAGGGGGAUCGGCCACACUGGAACUGAGACACGGUCCAGACUCCUACGGGAGGCAGCAGUAGGGAAUCUUCCGCAAUGGGAGAAAGCCUGACGGAGCAACGCCGAGUGAGUGAUGAAGGUCUUCGGAUCGUAAAACUCUGUUAUGAGGGAAGAACAAAUGUGUAAGUAAAUAUGCACGUCUUGACGGUACCUAAUCAGAAAGCCACGGCUAACUAAGUG
RNAcentral lists this ribosomal RNA (496 nucleotides) under uncultured bacterium. Its description in RNAcentral is "partial 16S ribosomal RNA". It matches the Rfam family "Bacterial small subunit ribosomal RNA", at positions 28 to 507 of the family's 1533-position model. The record is from RNAcentral.